This 725-nucleotide ribosomal RNA is filed under the name uncultured Acinetobacter sp. RNAcentral describes it as "bacterial SSU rRNA". It matches the Rfam family "Bacterial small subunit ribosomal RNA", at positions 8 to 726 of the family's 1533-position model. Lineage: Bacteria; Pseudomonadati; Pseudomonadota; Gammaproteobacteria; Moraxellales; Moraxellaceae. The record is from RNAcentral.
AGAGUUUGAUCAUGGCUCAGAUUGAACGCUGGCGGCAGGCUUAACACAUGCAAGUCGAGCGGAGCGAGGGUGCUUGCACCUUAGCUUAGCGGCGGACGGGUGGGUAAUGCUUAGGAAUCUGCCUAUUAGUGGGGGACAACAUUCCGAAAGGAAUGCUAAUACCGCAUACGCCCUACGGGGGAAAGCAGGGGAUCUUCGGACCUUGCGCUAAUAGAUGAGCCUAAGUCAGAUUAGCUAGUUGGUGGGGUAAAGGCCUACCAAGGCGACGAUCUGUAGCGGGUCUGAGAGGAUGAUCCGCCACACUGGGACUGAGACACGGCCCAGACUCCUACGGGAGGCAGCAGUGGGGAAUAUUGGACAAUGGGCGCAAGCCUGAUCCAGCCAUGCCGCGUGUGUGAAGAAGGCCUUUUGGUUGUAAAGCACUUUAAGCGAGGAGGAGGCUACUGAGAUUAAUACUCUUGGAUAGUGGACGUUACUCGCAGAAUAAGCACCGGCUAACUCUGUGCCAGCAGCCGCGGUAAUACAGAGGGUGCGAGCGUUAAUCGGAUUUACUGGGCGUAAAGCGUGCGUAGGCGGCUUUUUAAGUCGGAUGUGAAAUCCCUGAGCUUAACUUAGGAAUUGCAUUCGAUACUGGGAAGCUAGAGUAUGGGAGAGGAUGGUAGAAUUCCAGGUGUAGCGGUGAAAUGCGUAGAGAUCUGGAGGAAUACCGAUGGCGAAAGGCAGCC